RNAcentral lists this unclassified non-coding RNA (343 nucleotides) under soil metagenome. RNAcentral describes it as "partial contains 5.8S ribosomal RNA, internal transcribed spacer 2, and large subunit ribosomal RNA". The stretch from base 1 to 120 matches the Rfam family "5.8S ribosomal RNA", at positions 35 to 154 of the family's 154-position model. The record is from RNAcentral.
GAUGAAGAACGUAGCGAAAUGCGAUACGUAAUGUGAAUUGCAGAAUUCAGUGAAUCAUCGAAUCUUUGAACGCACAUUGCGCCCGCCAGCAUUCUGGCGGGCAUGCCUGUUCGAGCGUCAUUUCAACCCUCGAGCCCCCCCGGGGGCCUCGGUGUUGGGGGACGGCACACCAGCCGCCCCCGAAAUGCAGUGGCGACCCCGCCGCAGCCUCCCCUGCGUAGUAGCACACACCUCGCACCGGAGCGCGGAGGCGGUCACGCCGUAAAACGCCCAACUCACGAAAUGUUGACCUCGGAUCAGGUAGGAAUACCCGCUGAACUUAAGCAUAUCAAUAAGCGGAGGA